Molecule: ribosomal RNA, 879 nt
Filed under: Cytospora nitschkeana
Lineage: Eukaryota; Fungi; Ascomycota; Sordariomycetes; Diaporthales; Cytosporaceae
Description: eukaryotic LSU rRNA
Rfam family: Eukaryotic large subunit ribosomal RNA
Source: RNAcentral
GGAGGAAAAGAAACCAACAGGGAUUGCCCUAGUAACGGCGAGUGAAGCGGCAACAGCUCAAAUUUGAAAGCUGGCUCCGGCCCGCAUUGUAAUUUGCAGAGGAUGCUUCUGGUGAGGUGCCUUCCGAGUUCCCUGGAACGGGACGCCAUAGAGGGUGAGAGCCCCGUAUGGAUGGACACCAAACCUGUGUGAAGCUCCUUCAACGAGUCGAGUAGUUUGGGAAUGCUGCUCUAAAUGGGAGGUAAAUCUCUUCUAAAGCUAAAUACCGGCCAGAGACCGAUAGCGCACAAGUAGAGUGAUCGAAAGAUGAAAAGCACCUUGAAAAGGGGGUUAAACAGUACGUGAAAUUGUUGAAAGGGAAGCGCUUGUGACCAGACUUGCGCCGGGCAGCUCAUCAGGGGUUCUCCCCUGUGCACUCUGCCCGGCUCAGGCCAGCAUCGGUUCUCGUGGGAGGAUAAGAACGGUUGGAACGUGGCCCCCCUCCGGGGGGGUGUUAUAGCCUACCGUACGAUACUCCCGUGGGGACCGAGGUUCGCGCUCCGCAAGGAUGCUGGCGUAAUGGUCAUCAGCGACCCGUCUUGAAACACGGACCAAGGAGUCGUCCAUUAGAGCGAGCGUUUGGGUGUAAAACCCGCACGCGUAAUGAAAGUGAACGCAGGUGAGAGCUUCGGCGCAUCAUCGACCGAUCCUGAUGUCUUCGGAUGGAUUUGAGUAAGAGUUUUAACGGACGGACCCGAAAGACAGUGAACUAUGCUUGUAUAGGGUGAAGCCAGAGGAAACUCUGGUGGAGGCUCGCAGCGGUUCUGACGUGCAAAUCGAUCGUCAAAUAUGAGCAUGGGGGCGAAAGACUAAUCGAACUGUCUAGUAGCUGGUUACCGC